GGAGGGAUACCAAAGUGGCCAACUGGGGCGGACUGUAAAUCCGCUGUCUUCGACUUCGUAGGUUCGAAUCCUACUCCCUCCACCA
This 85-nucleotide transfer RNA is filed under the name Shimazuella soli. Its description in RNAcentral is "Shimazuella sp. AN120528 tRNA-Tyr". It matches the Rfam family "tRNA". From Rfam's summary of the family: Transfer RNA (tRNA) molecules are approximately 80 nucleotides in length. Their secondary structure includes four short double-helical elements and three loops (D, anti-codon, and T loops). Lineage: Bacteria; Bacillati; Bacillota; Bacilli; Caryophanales; Thermoactinomycetaceae. RNAcentral also lists the same sequence under 4 other names. The record is from RNAcentral.